RNAcentral lists this ribosomal RNA (367 nucleotides) under Cremnoconchus sp. 8 SC-2021. RNAcentral's name for it is "partial small subunit ribosomal RNA". The record is from RNAcentral. Lineage: Eukaryota; Metazoa; Mollusca; Gastropoda; Littorinimorpha; Littorinidae.
ACUUACCCGAGUACUACGAAUAUUAGAUUUAAAACUCAAAGGGCUUGGCGGUGCUUUAAACUUUUUAGGGGAACCUGUCCCAUAAUCGAUAGUCCGCGCUAGACCUUUCCCUUUUUUGCAAAAUUCAGUAUGUAUACCGUCGUCGUCAGGUAACUUUUAAAAAUAUAGAAGUUAGCAAUUAAAGAUAUAAUCUUAAACGUCAGAUCAAGGUGCAGCUUAUAAAAUGGAGAGGAUGGGUUACAAUUAAAAAUCAUAACUACGGAAGUAGGAUUGAAAUAUCCUAUUGAAGGAGGACUUAAUAGUAAGAGAUCCAUAUAAGGUCUUUGAAUAGAGCUCUAAGGCGUGCACACAUCGCCCGUCACCCUCA